This 1067-nucleotide long non-coding RNA is filed under the name Theobroma cacao (cacao). RNAcentral's name for it is "long non-coding RNA (TCAC_LNC002189)". Lineage: Eukaryota; Viridiplantae; Streptophyta; Magnoliopsida; Malvales; Malvaceae. The record is from RNAcentral.
CCCGAGUUCCAACUGAUAACUGGGUGCCUCAGCUCUUCUCUUACGCCAUUCCAAUAACUUCACCUUCAAUUUCUCCCUUUGCACUAAAACAUGAUCAAGCCAAGGCAGGCAUAUAGUUUGAUUCAACAGAACACCGAGUAGACAUGAGGUAGAGAACAGAUCGACCCCUUAGUUAUGCACUUUGGACUUUAUGAACACCAACGCACGCAAUCUUAAUCAGCCCUUCCCACCCUGAAAGAGAGGAGGUGAACGGGCAAAACUUGUUUAGCACCACAAAAACUAAAACAACAUACAUUAGGAAAGAAACACUUGCAUCCAAUUACAAUGAAUCAAACUGAGAAGAAAAGAUUUUCUCAAAAAUGGACAAUCUAGUUAGAAACUAAACUUCCAUCACCAAAAAAAGUGAAGCUGGGGAAGGGAGUGUUUUACAAAACUACAAAAACUGGGUAAGCAAAGGGGAUUUAUAAGGCAUUGAGAAAGCAGUUAUCGAUUGCAAAGAAAAUCUUGAUAGUAAAUGGUUGAAUCUGUCUCUCUCAGUGGCAUGUUUCUUCAUAGGGCCAAAAUACUUGAUAGUAAAUGGUUGAAUCUGUUUCUCUCAGUGGCAUGUUUCUUCAAAGGGCCAAAAUAAUUGAUCCACUGCCCAGAAACAGCUGGAUGCAAUUAUACAUAUCCUCAGGUGACUCAAUUUUAUAUCUGAUGCAAUGAAUAUCAUAACAUGGAACUGCUCACCCUAAUUUUAAUGUCCAAGGGAAGUCAAAAUAAUAGACUUUUCAUCAUAUUAAUCUCAUGUAUUAAUACAAUGGUGUCAGGAUAAAAAAUGUCACAAGCCUGCAGAAUGCAUUGCCUUAAUAGACGGUUUACACCUGUCUGAAAGGUCAAUUUAUCAGUUCACAGUAACCAAGGUUUCAUACCUUGUGAGGUGGAGUUCCGGGUCUUAAUGCAUUGUUGGUGAAUCCAAACUUUCCUUUCUUCUCUGAAGAUUUAAGGAUCUGAAAAGAACAUGUUAAAGUAUCGUCCACACUCAUCAUGGCGCCUGCAUUGUCAAAUUCACCACAGUAGUUUGGUGC